RNAcentral lists this long non-coding RNA (2978 nucleotides) under Triticum aestivum (bread wheat). RNAcentral describes it as "long non-coding RNA (TAES_LNC027158)". Lineage: Eukaryota; Viridiplantae; Streptophyta; Magnoliopsida; Poales; Poaceae. The record is from RNAcentral.
CAUGCUGCAAGAUGCUCGGAGCUGCGUGAAGAUGCUAGUCUUCGAUAGGCUAGGCCUUCCCCCUCUAUUCUGGCAUUCUGCAGUUCAGUCCACAGAUACAAACCUUCCAUUUGAUACCAGUGCAUACUUAGUAUAGAUCUAAUGCUUGCGAGUACUUUGGAUGAGUACUCACGGUUGCUUUGCUACCCCUUUUCCCCCUUCCUUCUUCUUUCCGGUUGAUGCAGCCAGAUGGUGGAUCCCUGGAGCCAGAUGCCACCGUCGAUGGAUGCUGCUACGUGAAGACCGCCGAUGGCCAGGAGUAGUUAGGAGGUCCCAGGCAGGAGGCCUUGCCUCUUCGAUCGUUGUUGCUUUUGUGCUAGCCUUCUUAAGGCAUCCUUGUUUAACUUAUGUCUGUACUCAGAUAUUGUUGCUUCCGCUGACUCUUGUGUAUCGAGCUUGUAUUCGAUCCCUCGAGGCCCCUGGCUUGUAAUAUAAAGCUUGUAUUAUUUUAUUUGUGUCUACAGUUGUGUUGUGAUAUCUUCCCGUGAGUCCCUGAUCUUGAUCGUACACAUUUGCGUGUAUGAUUAGUGUACGAUUGAAUCGGGGGCGUCACAAGUUGGUAUCAGAGAAAACUCCUUGGGCUUUUGGCCCAUCUGGAAGGUGGGCAGGCCAGGCGGCCCACCCCACUUACCUCCUUCCCCGCUACAGGAACAGGAGGGGGGCCGUGGCAGCCAUCCACGGCGCCAUGGCCGCGGUGGCAGCCAUCGGCCGGCUCCCCCUCGCGUACAAGACCACGGCGCCUCUCCCCUCGAACCCUAGGACGCCCCUGCCUCACCCUCAUACCUCCUCGUGCCGCACCUCGCUUUCCCUCGACGCAUCUACUUGCCUGAAGCCUCGUCACCGCGCCGCCGUCGUCCUCGUGGCAACCGGCCUUCCCCCGCCAAGCUGACGCGUCCAGAAGCUUCACCACUGUCGCGCCCUUCGUCUACGCCGUUGGGUUGGACCGGGGAGGCCCCGUACGCUCGCCAUCGCCGUCGUCCGUCGCGUACAUCAUAGACCGCCAUCGACGAUUCCCACGGCUCCGGUCCACCCCAGGCUUCCUCGACCGUGCCGACGAGCUCUUAGUGAGCUCCUCCUCCAUUCCCCCUGCUUGCCCCCUCGAUUCGUUGCGGUAGCCUCCGUCCCCGAGCUUGCCGGAGCUCGCGCGUACGCGUACGUAUGUACGUGUGUUCUGCUGCUGCUCCUGCACUAUUAUUGCCGCCCGCUCCCCGCUGUGGCUUGCUGCGCUGUGGCUGCUACUGCUCCCGCGGCCACUUCCGCCUGCGUCCGCUCGCCGCUGCCCCGGCUCCGCCGCUCCUUGUGCGCGUGUGGCCGCGCCCCCGCUCCUGCUGCGUGCUGCUCUUGCUAUUGCCGCUAGCUGCGGCUCCUUGCUUGCUGCUAGCUGCUGCUACUGCCGCCUGCAAUCACCGGCUGCUGCUGCUGGUGACCACGGCCACGGCCAUGGCCAAGGCCGUGUGUGGUGUGUGUGUGUGUGCACAACCAGCCUCACAGCUGUGCCACCAAGCCGGCCCUUGUUUAGUUUAGUUGGUAAUACUUUAGUGCUCAAUUAGUAUAACAACAAAUGACAAUUGGUCCCCUCUGUUUAUUAGCUUUAAUUAGUUGUUCUAAAAAGGCUAAGUCUAUGACAAAUGGGCCCCGCUGUUAAUUAAGCAAGAUUUUCCUAAACUACUAGACUUAGAGUUAAUGACAUGCGGACCCACUUCUACUAUUCACUGGUUGACUAGUCUCUGUUGACCUGGUCAACUAGGCCUCUGGCCCCAUCUGUCAGCCACAUGUGCACAAUGUUGGGUACACUUCUGUGUACCCGUAGCAUUUACUGUUUAUUUUCGAAAUAAUAAUAAUUUUAGAAAAUCAAUUAAAACUUUGAAAAAUAAUAUAAAAUAAUCCAUAGCUCGGAUGAAAAUGUUUUAUACACGAAAGUUGCUCAGAACGACGAGCCGAAUCCGAACACGCGGUCCAUUCAUCCGACACACGUCCCUAGCAUAGCAAACAUGCAACCUUUCCCCUCCGGUUCAUCUGUCUGACAGACGUCCGGAACCGGGAAAACUUUCCCGGAUGUUUCCCCCUUCGCCAGUAUCGCCUAGCGCCGCAUUAGAACACCUCUAGCCCCGCUUAUAAUCAUGUUGUGCAUAUGUGUGCGUGUAUUUACUGUUUCUUCCCCCUCUUCUCUCUGGUAGACCCUGAGACCGCUGCUGAUGCCGCUGUGAUCGACUACGUCGACGACGACCCUCCUUCUUGUCUGAGCAACCAGGCAAGCCCCCCCCCCCUUGAUCAUCCCGAUAUCGCCCAUUCUAUAUUCUCAUGCUUGCAUUAGAUUUUGCUACUGUUAUUGUUUGCUCCUAUUCUAAUGCAUAGCCUGCUUUUGUAUCGGCUUUUGUUACCUACCUGCUUAUCCUAAACUGCUUAGUAUAGGUUGGUUAGUGAUCCAUCAGUGACCCCCACCUUGUCCUUGUUGCCCCUGCUUCAUCAUCGAUGCCUCGAUCGACGUGAGCCGUUCAGUCCACAUAUACAAACCUUCCAUUUGAUACCAGUGCAUACUUAGUAUAGAUCUGAUGCUUGCGAGUACUUUGGAUGAGUACUCACGGUUGCUUUGCUACCCCUUUCCCCCCUUCUUUCUUCUUUCCGGUUGAUGCAACCAGAUGGUGGAUCCUUGGAGCCAGAUGCCACCGCCGAUGGAUGCUACUACGUGGAGACCGCCGACGACCAGGAGUAGUUAGGAGGUCCCAGGCAGGAGGCCUUGCCUCUUCGAUCGUGUUGCUUUUGUGCUAGCCUUCUUAAGGCAAAACUUGGUUAACUUAUGUCUGUACUCAGAUAUUGUUGCUUCCGCUGACUCUUGUGUAUCGAGCUUGUAUUCGAGCCCUCGAGGCUCCUGGCUUGUAAUAUAAAGCUUGUAUUAUUUUAUUUGUGUCUAGAGUUGUGUUGUGAUAUCUUCCCGUGAG